GAGGAUCGACGUCAAUACUAUGGUUGCAAAAGCAUAAUUUAUAGAGCUACAUUAUGAUCAGAUGGAGUUUUUCGAUUGUAUAGAGAAACAAUAGAGUCCGAUUCUCGGAAAUCUGUUGAAUUGUGGCACUCAUAUUGUAUUCAAUGCAAAAAAAUAGAACGAGAGGACCAUAUCCUAUUUAUUAUAAUUCUAGAGGUGAUCCUAGGGUGCCAAUAAUUGUGGUUUUAGUAGGGUGGACAAGGAGAUAGUAUUUAGAUGGCGAUGUCGUAAAUGAAUGAUUUUGCCCUUCAUUUGUGUUUUAAAAUGUGUUAAUCUAAUGGAGUAGUUUUUUUUUUAUUAUUUUUUUUAUUGUUAUCUAACCGAAAUCUGGUCGGACUAUAUUAAAUAUUUUCUUUCAUAUAUUUUGGAUAUUUAUUAAUUAAAAAAAAAAAGUUAUGAAUAGCAAUGUGAUGAUGACGUGUUCUAAUGAAUAUGUAUUUUAUAGGAUUGGUUUUGUUAUUCAAAAAGGACUUGCAGCG
This 518-nucleotide long non-coding RNA is filed under the name Aquilegia coerulea. RNAcentral's name for it is "long non-coding RNA (ACOE_LNC000884)". Lineage: Eukaryota; Viridiplantae; Streptophyta; Magnoliopsida; Ranunculales; Ranunculaceae. The record is from RNAcentral.